Molecule: transfer RNA, 542 nt
Filed under: uncultured Prochlorococcus sp.
Lineage: Bacteria; Bacillati; Cyanobacteriota; Cyanophyceae; Synechococcales; Prochlorococcaceae
Description: partial 16S-23S ribosomal RNA intergenic spacer
Rfam family: tRNA (bases 212-284)
Source: RNAcentral
CAGGGAGACAACAAAAUGUUUAAUAUUAUUAUUUUGUCACCUUAGGUCGAUCGGUAUCUCACAUUCUUAAUUUAUUAAGAAUUUCAUUUUCUAAGUUUUUCUAGGUCACACCCAUUAUUUUUCCUGGGCCAUUAGCUCAGGUGGUUAGAGCGCACCCCUGAUAAGGGUGAGGUCCCUGGUUCAAGUCCAGGAUGGCCCAUAUCUCUAUGUUGGGGGUAUAGCUCAGUUGGUAGAGCGCCUGCUUUGCAAGCAGGAUGUCAGCGGUUCGAGUCCGCUUACCUCCACUGAUUACCACCUCUUCCAUAACCGGUAGUAAAGGAAAUGUUUUGAGUUGUGAUCAAAUUCUGAAAGAAUCUAGCUUCCUAAUGUAUUCGUUAAGAUGCUGGAUUCAUUGAAUUAAUUUCAUUGUUUUCAGAGAACCUUGACAACUGCAUAGAUUAUUUUUAAAGACAAUAAGCAUCUUUAAUGAUGCAGAUUUAUUAUUUGUGCGAAUGCAUUAAUAACAAUUCUAUUAAGCUGAUGCUUCAAUUUUUGAAGUUAUU